GACAGCAGUCGCCACGGUAAAACGUAGGUGGCAAGCGUUGUCCGGAAUUAUUGGGCGUAAAGGGCUCGCAGGCGGUUUCUUAAGUCUGAUGUGAAAGCCCCCGGCUCAACCGGGGAGGGUCAUUGGAAACUGGGAAACUUGAGUGCAGAAGAGGAGAGUGGAAUUCCACGUGUAGCGGUGAAAUGCGUAGAGAUGUGGAGGAACACCAGUGGCGAAGGCGACUCUCUGGUCUGUAACUGACGCUGAGGAGCGAAAGCGUGGGGAGCGAACAGGAUUAGAUACCCCGGUAGUCCCUGUCUCUUAUAC
This 306-nucleotide ribosomal RNA is filed under the name uncultured bacterium. Its description in RNAcentral is "partial 16S ribosomal RNA". It matches the Rfam family "Bacterial small subunit ribosomal RNA", at positions 507 to 807 of the family's 1533-position model. The record is from RNAcentral.